UAAAUACAUCUAGACUCAGCCACCCCAAUAUUCCCCUUAUCAACAUCUGUUUGCUCUCAUGCUGACCACAUUUGCGGAAAACAAGUUUUAGGUUUAGGUCGUCUGGCUGUCAACUUAAUAUUUUGCUCAGCAAAAACUCCUCGGUACUCCCUUGUCUAUGAAGACCUUUGGAUAAAAUUGGAAUUUCCUCAUUCAUGGGUCUAGGACUCUUUAGUACAGAGCAGUCAGGGGUUUGCAUGUUUUUCCCCACCAUGCAUGAGCGAUUCAACUGGGAAGUCGUCAAAUCCACGUGACUGUCCUCCCUCCAGGCUGCAUACCGCUCUUUUGAAGCAUUCUGGGCCGCCGAGAGCCAGCCCGGGCCCCGGGACAGACGACCUCUCCGGGCCCCUUGUACUU
Molecule: long non-coding RNA, 396 nt
Organism: Pomacea canaliculata
Lineage: Eukaryota; Metazoa; Mollusca; Gastropoda; Architaenioglossa; Ampullariidae
Exons: 3
Source: RefSeq, a predicted model, not a curated record